UUUUAAGCUGUUGGGCAUGGAUUGCUAUUUAGGCAUGGCUCUCUUAACGACACGAUCAAAAGCGCUCUUGCCACCAUAGACGUUCCUGCGCUCAUUGAGCCGGCAGGGAUUAGUCGGGAUGAUGGCAAGAGACCUGAUGGAUUGACGCUGGUUCCCUGGGAACGGGGACGGGCGCUAAUGU
Molecule: long non-coding RNA, 181 nt
Organism: Maniola jurtina (meadow brown)
Lineage: Eukaryota; Metazoa; Arthropoda; Insecta; Lepidoptera; Nymphalidae
Exons: 4
Source: RefSeq, a predicted model, not a curated record